UACGUAGGGGGCAAGCGUUGUCCGGAUUUAUUGGGCGUAAAGCGCGUGUAGGCGGCUUGGCAAGUCGGGUGUGAAAGCCCCAGGCUCAACCUGGGAAGUGCAUUCGAUACUGCGUAGCUAGAGUCAUGGAGAGGGUGGUGGAACUCUCGGUGUAGAGGUGAAAUUCGUAGAUAUCGAGAAGAACACCUGUGGCGAAGGCGGCCACCUGGCCGUUGACUGACGCUGAGACGCGAAAGCGUGGGGAGCAAACAGG
Molecule: ribosomal RNA, 253 nt
Filed under: uncultured bacterium
Lineage: Bacteria
Description: partial 16S ribosomal RNA
Rfam family: Bacterial small subunit ribosomal RNA
Source: RNAcentral